GAAAGCUUUCCCUUGAACACUGUGCCAUAUGCUCCCUGGCCCAACUUGUCCUUAAAUUGGUUUGUAAUCCCCUUUAGAUCAGCAUAGGAGUAUCUUGUGGGCUUGAGAGCUUUGUAAUCUUCCAAAAAUUUCUCUAUCCUGGCUUGGUUUUCCUUUUCUUUUCUAUUAGUAUUGUAAAUAUGACAGAGUGCUGCGGACAAUAGUAGCAGCAUAAACGAACCUAGGACUAUACCUGCAAUCCGUACCCUGGUCAAGAUACCUGAUGUUUUGGGCAAGUCGAAACAUGCAAGGUUACUAUUCUUCCAGCCACAAUGUUUACCUUGCUCUUCACAGAAUUUACACGUUGGUUCGGACCAAUUCAAACGAAUAAUAUUCGAGUUAUCGAACAUUUCUUCUGGAACCGAUGAAACAUUAUACAUCUUGGUGCAAGAUGUCAGAGGCAACUGAUCAAUUGUAUCAUGAGAAUUGAAGGCAUAAACUUUAUUGCCGGCAGGACCUCCGAGGCAAGUCAAUGGUUCUUCUAAAUCUCUCUUUGACGCUGGACAACUGAACAAGGCAUAAUCAUUUGUCUCUGCAGCAAAUUGGAAAUUAGAAUUAUAAAGAUUGAAGUCUCUAGCCUUCCUUGGUAGACAGCCAUCUGGGUCAGAUGCAAAAAACACCUGGUUUACAUAAUCAAUUCUUUGGACGUAGAGUUUCACAGAAUUUGGCAGUUGAAGCUCUGCAUGUUUCCCCUCUUUGCAAGAUAAAUCAAACCCAUGAUGAUAGCCACAC
This 771-nucleotide unclassified non-coding RNA is filed under the name Hevea brasiliensis (rubber tree). Lineage: Eukaryota; Viridiplantae; Streptophyta; Magnoliopsida; Malpighiales; Euphorbiaceae. The record is from RNAcentral.